CCUGUGUUCCGGGGUCGGUGAGAAUCCGAACCGGCGGUGAAAGUCCGCGACCCCCGCGCCUGCGGGGCUGAUCCAGUGAAAUUCUGGUACCGACGGUGAUAAGCGAAAUGCUUUAGUCCGGAUGAGAGGAACGCGCC
This 137-nucleotide non-coding RNA is filed under the name Enteractinococcus sp. RNAcentral's name for it is "FMN sequence". It matches the Rfam family "FMN riboswitch aptamer (RFN element)". Rfam says of the family: The RFN element is a highly conserved domain that is found frequently in the 5'-untranslated regions of prokaryotic mRNAs that encode for flavin mononucleotide (FMN) biosynthesis and transport proteins. This element is a metabolite-dependent riboswitch that directly binds FMN in the absence of proteins. In Bacillus subtilis, the riboswitch most likely controls gene expression by causing premature transcription termination within the 5' untranslated region of the ribDEAHT operon and precluding access to the ribosome-binding site of ypaA mRNA. The record is from RNAcentral. Lineage: Bacteria; Bacillati; Actinomycetota; Actinomycetes; Micrococcales; Micrococcaceae.